GAGGGGCCUUGGUCGUGAACUGCAAGCUGUAAGAUCUCUCAGCAAGCAGCAAUGUGAAGAAAUGGCCCAACAGCUCCGCAGGAUGGAAGAGCAGUACAUCAAGGCUCUCAGACUCUGGCAAUCUGCUCAGGAAGAGGAAAAAAGGAAGCUCCAGGAAAACUUGGAGAGACAGCUGGAACAACAGCGUUUGGAGGCGCAGCAGCAGCUGGAGGAACAGGCAAACCUCGUGGCAGAGCUCCAGCAUCAGAAGGCUGCUGUCUUAACCAGAAUGCACCAGAUGGAGAGAAAGCUAAUCCGAAGCCAGCAGCAAGUCAAGCAGCUGAGGCUGGAGCUGAGUAAGGAGCGGGAGAAUGGGCAGGUGAGCCUGACCAGCCAGGUAGCAGAGGGAAGGGCAGGAAUGGCGCCAUGGACUAUAGAUCUCAGGCGAGGGAAGGCAAGGACUACUGCAGGCACUGGAUGCACAGAGGCAGGUGCUAGUAAGAUUUUUCCUGACACAAUAUCAAGGACAAGCUACAGCAAGCUCAGAGGGAGAUGAAGGCAAUGGAGAAGAGACACAAAGAAGAAAUGGAAAGGAUGCGCAGGAUCCAGCUGCAGUACAGGCUGUGUGAACAAAAGCAGAUGGACACAGGCUCUGCAGCAGCGUCCUCCAAAGAAGGAGUCUCCCCUCUGCAGCCUGAAAACUCGAGCAUGGACAGUUCAUGCUGGUCAAGCCAGGAG
Prinia subflava (tawny-flanked prinia) is the source of this 717-nucleotide RNA transcript. It is a transcript of the gene named moesin-like, with no coding region annotated. The record is from RefSeq and is a predicted model, not a curated record. Lineage: Eukaryota; Metazoa; Chordata; Aves; Passeriformes; Cisticolidae. The transcript has 4 exons.